GGAUAACUACGGAAAAGCUGUAGCUAAUACUUGCUUUAGCGCUCUUGACUUCGUGUCUUGAGUGUGUACUUGUUAAGCCUUAUAAGAAAAAAGUUAUUAACUUAAGGAAUUAUAACAAAGAAGUAACACGUAAUGGAUCCAUCCAUUUUUAGUGUGUAUCAAUCGAGUUUCUGACCUAUCAGCUUUUGAUGUUAGGGUAUUGGCCUAACAUGGCUAUGACGGGUAACGGGGAAUUAGAGUUCGAUUCCGGCGAGGGAGCCUGAGAAAUAGCUACCACAUCUAAGGAAGGCAGCAGGCGCGUAAAUUACCCAAUUCUAAAGAAGAGAGGUAGUGACAAGAAAUAACAAUACAAGGCCAAUCUGGCUUUGUAAUUGGAAUGAUGGGAAUUUAAAACCUUCCCAAAAUACAAUUGGAGGGCAAGUCUGGUGCCAGCAGCCGCGGUAAUUCCAGCUCCAAUAGCGUAUAUUAAAAUUGUUGCAGUUAAAACGCUCGUAGUUGAAUUUCAAAGAAUCGAUAUUUUAAGUAACGCUUUUAGCUUAAAUCCACAUAACAGACACUUCGUGUCGACUUUGUGCGCAUUUUCGCUAAUAUGUGUUCUUUUAAUUAAAAUGAUUCUUUUUAAAUCUCUAAUAUUUGCUUCGGCAUUUUUGGGGAUUUGUUACUUUGAGUAAAUUAGAGUGUUCAAAGCAAACAGAUAUAGCAUUUGUGCGUUUGAAUACUACAGCAUGGAAUAACAAAAUUGAACAAGUCAAAAUUUUUGUUCUUUUUUCUUAUUUUGGCUUAGUUACGAUUAAUAGGAGUAGCUUGGGGGCAUUUGUAUUCAGAUGUCAGAGGUGAAAUUCUUAGAUUUUCUGGAGACAAACAACUGCGAAAGCAUUUGCCUAAAAUACUUCCAUUAAUCAAGAACGAAAGUUAAGGGAGUGAAGACGAUCAGAUACCGUCGUAAUCUUAACCAUAAACUAUGCCGACUAGGCUUUGGAUGAAAGAUUUUAAAAUAAGAGUUUUCCUUUCCCUUCGGGGUUAGGACUC
Molecule: ribosomal RNA, 1029 nt
Filed under: Plasmodium coatneyi
Lineage: Eukaryota; Apicomplexa; Aconoidasida; Haemosporida; Plasmodiidae
Description: SSU rRNA
Rfam family: Eukaryotic small subunit ribosomal RNA
Source: RNAcentral